Non-coding RNA from Electrophorus electricus (electric eel), 183 nucleotides. NCBI's taxonomy places the organism in Eukaryota, Metazoa, Chordata, Actinopteri, Gymnotiformes, Gymnotidae. The record is from RefSeq and is a predicted model, not a curated record.
AUCAGGUCACGGCGGAAGAAAGGAGGAUGCCAGAACUCAUACAAGGUGGGAAUCUUCAUCUUCUGAAUCAAUAAUAAUGUCAUCAGUGGAUUGAAUUGGAGAAGAGUCUUUGUCUGAAGGAAUAUGGGUAGAUUGGUCAACAGUAGCUGAGUACAAUGAAAAAUAAACAUGCCUCUUAUUCGA